Molecule: ribosomal RNA, 256 nt
Filed under: uncultured bacterium
Lineage: Bacteria
Description: partial 16S ribosomal RNA
Rfam family: Bacterial small subunit ribosomal RNA
Source: RNAcentral
UACGAAGGUGGCAAGGCGUUGUUCGGAUUUACUGGGCGUACAGGGAGCGUAGGCGGUUGGAUAAGCCCUCCGUGAAAAUCUCCAGGCUUAACCUGGAAAGUGCAGAGGGGACUGUUCAGCUAGAGGAUGGGAGAGGAGCGCGGAAUUCCCGGUGUAGCGGUGAAAUGCGUAGAGAUCGGGAGGAAGGCCGGUGGCGAAGGCGGCGCUCUGGAACAUUUCUGACGCUGAGGCUCGAAAGCGUGGGGAGCAAACAGGG